Molecule: ribosomal RNA, 253 nt
Filed under: uncultured bacterium
Lineage: Bacteria
Description: partial 16S ribosomal RNA
Rfam family: Bacterial small subunit ribosomal RNA
Source: RNAcentral
UACGUAGGGUGCGAGCGUUAAUCGGAAUUACUGGGCGUAAAGCGUGCGCAGGCGGUUUUGUAAGCCAGAUGUGAAAGCCCCGGGCUCAACCUGGGAAUGGCAGUGGAAACUAGGGGACUGGAAUCUGGCAGAGGGGGGUGGAAUGCCGCGUGUAGCAGUGAAAUGCGUAGAGAUGCGGCGGAACACCGAUGGCGAAGGCAGCCCCCUGGGCUGAGAUUGACGCUCAGGCACGAAAGCGUGGGGAGCAAACAGG